AGAUUCCUACGGGAGGCAGCAGUAGGGAAUAUUGCACAAUGGGGGAAACCCUGAUGCAGCAAUGCCGCGUGAGUGAUGAAGGCUUUCGGGUCGUAAAGCUCUGUCGUUAGGGAAAAAGAUUUAGUAGCUAAUAUCUGCUAAGUUUGAUGGUACCUAAAAAGAAAGCACCGGCUAACUACGUGCCAGCAGCCGCGGUAAUA
This 200-nucleotide ribosomal RNA is filed under the name uncultured bacterium. RNAcentral describes it as "partial 16S ribosomal RNA". It matches the Rfam family "Bacterial small subunit ribosomal RNA", at positions 333 to 525 of the family's 1533-position model. The record is from RNAcentral.